UAGCUGAAAAUUCAAAAUUAUUUACAAAAAUUUACAAUUUUUCAAAAAGAUCAUUAUCUCAAACUGAAAUUGACGUCUUAUUGAGGGGUUUUAAAUUUACACCAACACCUAAAUAUAAAAAUGAUUCUUAUGAUCAAAUAAAAGAUGUGGAUGAUUUUCAUAGAUCACUUAGGCUUAAAGAGUUUUUUAAUAAUAGUGAUCAUAAUAAUACAAACAAUUCUAUUGUAAAAAAUCAAACGUCCUUUUAUCCACCUAAACAUAGAAAUAAUACACUAGACCAUUAUAUAAAUGUUACUCGAACACUUUGCCUUCAACAUUCUCAAAUGGAAAAUGACACUAAACAUAACAUAUCAUUAAAAGAAAGAAAAGCUAUAGAUUUAUUAGCAGAAGACAAAUCCAUAAUUAUUAAAGAAGCAGACAAGGGUGGCGGAAUUGUUAUAAUGAAUACAGACUUUUAUAGAAGAAAAUUAUUAGCAAUGUUAAAUGACGUUGAAUAUUAUAAACAAAUCCCUGAUAAUGGUAGUCAAAUAACACUUUCAAAAAUACGCAAUUUACUAAAGAAAAUAAUAAACUAACUAAACAGGAAAAUGAUUUCUUAGUAAAAUUCGAAUGGAAAACAAGCCUAUUUUAUGGUCUUCCAAAAAUUCAUAAAAGUAAAAUCAUUCAGGAUGCAAUUAAACACAGCAAUUCAGAAUAUAUAGAGUUAAUGGAUCCAGACGAUUUAAACUUUCGCCCAAUAGUCGCUGGAACUAACUGUGAAACAAGUCGUUUAAGUUCUUUAUUGGAUAUCUUCUUAAAACCGUUUGUAAAAUAUGUCAAUAGCAAUAUAACAAAUAACAUAGAUUUCCUAAAACAUAUACCUUCACAAGUUCCAGAGUCAAGUACAUUAGUAUCAUUUGAUGUAAUUAAUUUAUAUUCUAAUAUACCGCAUACUCUUGGUUUAGAAGCUAUUGAUUAUUGGCUUCAAAAAUAUCCAGAUUCGGUUAAUGAAAGGUUUUCGCAACGGUUUAUAAAAGAAGGCAUAAAAAUAAUACUUGAAAAUAAUAACUUCAAUUUUGAUGAUAAGUACUACAACCAAUCUAAAGGGACUGCAGUGGGUACUAAAUUCGCGCCAACAUACGCUACAUUGGUAGUGGGAUUUUUAGAACAAAAUCUCUAUGCAAGAAUUGGAUCAAUUUAUAAUGAUGAAUUUAUUUCUUUUAUAAAAACAUUUUGGAAAAGAUUUCUAGACGAUUGCUUUAUUUUCUGGACAAAAUUUCCCUAUGAACUUCAAAACUUUUAUACUAUUUUAAACAACUUACAUUCGGAUAUCAAGUUUACAAUGCAAACAAGCACACUCGAGUUACCAUUUCUUGAUAUAUUGAUUAUAAAAAACAAUACUGAAAUUAAUACUGAUAUAUAUUACAAAGAAACUGAUUCUAAACAAUAUCUUAAUUUUACCUCGUGUCAUAAUAAACACACAAAGAUAAAUAUUCCUUUCACUUUAGCGAAACGGAUCUGCACCAUAGUUUCGAAUGAUAAACUUAAACUAAAACGUUUAAAUGAACUUAAGCAUUCACUUAUUCAAAGAAAAUAUCCACAAUCUAUUAUAAAUACAGGUAUUAAAAAAGCACUUUCCAUCCCUAAACAUGAAUUACUUUCAAAAUCAACACAAAAAGACAAGAGUAAUAUAAUUCCAUUUAUUUCAACACAAAAUCCAAAAAAUAAAGAACUGUUUGGCGUAUUAAAAAACAACAUUGACAUUUUACAAACAGACCCGGUUAUGAAUAAAAUAAUUUCAAAUCAGAAGAUAAUAAAAUGUAAGCGACAGCCACCUAAUUUAAAACGUCUGUUAAUCAAAUCUUACUUUUCAUCUCAAGAACCAAGAGUAUCCAAAUGUAAUGACUCUAGAUGCGCCCUGUGUGGUUAUAUUAUUGAAGGGAAUUCUUUUGAUUUUAAUGGCAAAAUGUUCAAAAUAAAAACUAAUAUGUCAUGUGAUAUACAAAAUGUGAUUUAUGUAUUAGUAUGCAAUGGAUGCAAACAAUAUUAUAUAGGCCAAACUGGCGAUAAACUUAGAAAUAGGCGAUCUGUCCAUGAACAACAAAUGCGAGACCCCUCAACAAGACAGAUGCCUUUAAGUAAACAUUUAGAUGAAUGUUCACAUAAUGAACCAAAAUUUAAAAUAUUUCCAUUUUAUAAGCUAUUUUCGAACAAUAUUUCAGCUAGGUUAGCAAAAGAACAACAUUUUAUACAUGUAUUUAAACCCAAAUUAAAUUUCAUUUAAUAUUUAUUGACGUUAUGACGUCAUAAUUGAUAUGACGUUAUCUCCAUGACAUUUUGACGUUGUAAUCUAUUGUAUUAUGCCCUGAUGAGCUAUGCAAAACGCGUUGGCUAAAUCAAUAUAUAUUUAAAAUCCCAGACACGUGUUUUUACUUUUAUUAUAUAAUAUUCACAAUCUGGAUUUUUACAUUUUACUUAUAUGACUAUAUAUAACGGAUUGUGCAGCGUGUUCAUGUGACCGAAGAGAGCAAAACUUGAAGAAUUGUCUGAUUCGUCGGAUUGCUCGAAAUCAAACUCGAAUGAGGAAGUCAUGGAGGAGGAUAAUAGAUAUUUCUUAAAAUCAAUAGACGAUAAACUGUCGCUGAUAUUGACCGCAAUUAACGAUUUGAGCGCGGCAAUUGCAAAAAAUAAUAAUACUGCCAUUAGGAAAGAUGACAUUGUCGCUGACAUAAAAUCAGCUGUACAUGAAAUUUCUCAAAAUAUACCGAAGCCCGAAAUAUCCGUGAACCACGAAAAUAACGAGGAAAACAAUAACAUAUUUGAAAGAGAAGCACUAAAAAUAAAAAUGGAAAUAUCAAAUAUAUGGCACAACAAAAUGGAAAUACGAAUAAGUACGUACUGGUCCAUGAUAAAAAAUAAAGGCCAUUUUGAAAAAUAUUCUAAAUGGUUAAGAUCAACUCCAAUGGUAAUACCAAAACAUAUACAGAAAAAAGAAAUACCAAAUGAAAAUAUCGAUCAGAAAUCAGUUAGAGAAAGGGCCGUAUUGAAUGACUUCAAUAUCCAAACAGAAUUGCAGUCAUUACGUGCUUCUUCAAACUGUGAGAAAUUCAAGCGCAUCGACGAAGAAAUAUUUAAAUUGAUACAUUCAAAAUGCAACGGAAGAACAGCACGGACACUGGUAGAACUUCGGAAAACGGAAACGCAACGAAAUGAAGAAAUUUCACAUAAAAGAUGGGGAAACAAUGAAAAAUGGCUUUCAAAAUACGAAGAAGAAUUCAUAAAGGAACAUGAAAAGAAAAAUCCAUUCUUUAAAAAACCAGACUUCGUAAACAAAAAUCAACCCUCUUCAUAUGCGGAUGCUGUCCGAAAAAAUACCACCAACUACCAAAAUCUGAAAACAACAUACAACUACAACAGUCAAGAAAGAAACACCAAUAAACAACAUUCGCAAAGAAAAAACCUACAACAAAAUCAAACAAGCUGUUUACAAAAUAUAGAUGUGGAAAGUAUUGUAAGAGAAGUUCUUUUAAAAAUAAUAAUCCCAACAUCGAAUUACAUAACAAUUUCCAAAGAAACAAUUCCAUUUCAAACAGAAGCAAUAUAAGAGAUAACACAAGGUCUUCAUACAGAAGAAACUAUAGAAACAACAACAAUACGAGCGACGACAUAUUGCAAGAUAACGACGACAAACCAAGCGAAUUUAACGUUGAUUUUUUAGAAGGAGGCAGGGAGUGGAGCAGUCCGACAUAGAAACUUUAGGAUUAGUUGGUGAGGAAUAUUUCCGCGAGUGUAUGAUGACGAUGGGUGAUCGCUGGUCCGAGGAGAUGGUGGAUGACCUAUUUCUGCGAUCACCAAUCAAACAGGGCCAACUCGACUAUGUGGAGUUCACGCGCACUCUCAAACACGGA
This is an RNA transcript of Dreissena polymorpha, 3887 nucleotides long. It is a transcript of the gene named myosin regulatory light chain 12B-like, with no coding region annotated. The record is from RefSeq and is a predicted model, not a curated record. NCBI's taxonomy places the organism in Eukaryota, Metazoa, Mollusca, Bivalvia, Myida, Dreissenidae. The transcript is spliced from 2 exons.